RNAcentral lists this long non-coding RNA (212 nucleotides) under Mustela putorius furo (domestic ferret). RNAcentral describes it as "lncRNA (ENSMPUG00000024650.1)". The record is from RNAcentral. Lineage: Eukaryota; Metazoa; Chordata; Mammalia; Carnivora; Mustelidae.
UUUUUCUUGUAUAAAAAGAGGUAGGUGGCAGUGAGCAUUGGUGAUGUCAGUGUUUGUAUCUCUGUGACAUGGUAACCUUUCUCUUAAGGUUGCCACAGUUACAAGAGGACUGCUCCACUUCUAGCAUCAGCUCUAGAAUCCAGCCAGGAAGAAGGACACAGUACACAGAGCCAAAGGGGGAGCUUUCCAUUCAAACAUUUGGCUUUCAAUGA